GUCUUGGUGAAGAUCUCUAGACCAGGAAGUGCCGUAUGACACUGUAAACAGCAGCUGCUUCUCUGCCGCUGUAAGUGUCCAUCUGGUCUCUGACGGAC
RNAcentral lists this small nucleolar RNA (98 nucleotides) under Triticum aestivum (bread wheat). Its description in RNAcentral is "Small nucleolar RNA Z112". It matches the Rfam family "Small nucleolar RNA Z112". From Rfam's summary of the family: Z112 is a member of the C/D class of snoRNA which contain the C (UGAUGA) and D (CUGA) box motifs. Most of the members of the box C/D family function in directing site-specific 2'-O-methylation of substrate RNAs. The record is from Rfam by way of RNAcentral. Lineage: Eukaryota; Viridiplantae; Streptophyta; Magnoliopsida; Poales; Poaceae.